UACGUAGGGUGCGAGCGUUGUUCGGAUUUAUUGGGCGUAAAGCGCACGUAGGUGGUGAUUUAAGUCUUGUGUGAAAGCCUGCGGCUCAACCGCAGGAUGCCAUGGGAUACUGAAUCGCUUGAGACAGGUAGAGGCUAGCGGAAUUCCGGGUGUAGCGGUGGAAUGCGUAGAGAUCCGGAAGAACACCAGAGGCGAAGGCGGCUAGCUGGGCCUGUUCUGACACUGAGGUGCGAAAGCGUGGGGAGCAGACAGG
Molecule: ribosomal RNA, 253 nt
Filed under: uncultured bacterium
Lineage: Bacteria
Description: partial 16S ribosomal RNA
Rfam family: Bacterial small subunit ribosomal RNA
Source: RNAcentral